GAUGAAGAACGCAGCGAAAUGCGAUAAGUAAUGAGAAUUGCAGAAUUCAGUGAAUCAUCGAAUCUUUGAACGCACAUUGCGCCCGCCAGUAUUCUGGCGGGCAUGCCUGUUCGAGCGUCAUUUCAACCAUCAAGCCCCCGGCUUGUGUUGGGGACCUGCGGCUGCCGCAGGCCCUGAAAACCAGUGGCGGGCUCGCUAGUCACUCCGAGCGUAGUAAUACAUCUCGCUCAGGGCGUGCUGCGGGUUCCGGCCGUUAAAAAGCCUUAUUUACCCAAGGUUGACCUCGGAUCAGGUAGGAAGACCCGCUGAACUUAAGCAUAUCAUAAGCGGAGGA
RNAcentral lists this unclassified non-coding RNA (334 nucleotides) under soil metagenome. Its description in RNAcentral is "partial contains 5.8S ribosomal RNA, internal transcribed spacer 2, and large subunit ribosomal RNA". The stretch from base 1 to 120 matches the Rfam family "5.8S ribosomal RNA", at positions 35 to 154 of the family's 154-position model. The record is from RNAcentral.